This 264-nucleotide signal recognition particle RNA is filed under the name Armatimonadetes bacterium GBS. Its description in RNAcentral is "Bacterial large signal recognition particle RNA". It matches the Rfam family "Bacterial large signal recognition particle RNA". From Rfam's summary of the family: The signal recognition particle (SRP) is a universally conserved ribonucleoprotein involved in the co-translational targeting of proteins to membranes. The record is from RNAcentral. Lineage: Bacteria; Bacillati; Armatimonadota. RNAcentral also lists the same sequence under 7 other names.
UCGCGCUAAGCGGGGAGGUGGCGGUGCCCUGUACCUGCAAUCCGCCAUAGCAGGGCUGAACUCCGACUCGCGGCGCGCUCCCUGUGCGAAACGCAGGCACGCGCUCGUGAGGAUCAUCGGGACCUCCGCAACGGAGCGACGGCGAACCCCGCCAGGUCCGGAAGGAAGCAACGGUAAGUCGUUCCCCCGUGUGCCGGAGUUAUCCCGGUGGGAGCGAGCAGCGACCUGACGCCGCGGAGGGAGGCGUCAACAGUCGGUGCGCGA